RNAcentral lists this ribosomal RNA (770 nucleotides) under uncultured Acidobacteriota bacterium. Its description in RNAcentral is "bacterial SSU rRNA". It matches the Rfam family "Bacterial small subunit ribosomal RNA", at positions 61 to 862 of the family's 1533-position model. The record is from RNAcentral. Lineage: Bacteria; Pseudomonadati; Acidobacteriota.
GUCGAACGAGAAAGUGGAGCAAUCCAUGAGUAAAGUGGCGCACGGGUGAGUAACACGUGACUAACCUACCCUUGAGUGGGGAAUAACCUAGGGAAACCUGGGCUAAUACCGCAUAACACCUACGGGUCAAAGGAGCAAUUCGCUUAAGGAGGGGGUCGCGGCAGAUUAGCUAGUUGGCGGGGUAAUGGCCCACCAAGGCAGUGAUCUGUAUCCGGCCUGAGAGGGCGCACGGACACACUGGAACUGAAACACGGUCCAGACUCCUACGGGAGGCAGCAGUGGGGAAUUUUGCGCAAUGGGGGAAACCCUGACGCAGCAACGCCGCGUGGAGGAUGAAGUCCCUUGGGACGUAAACUCCUUUCGACCGGGAAGAUUAUGACGGUACCGGAAGAAGAAGCCCCGGCUAACUUCGUGCCAGCAGCCGCGGUAAUACGAGGGGGGCAAGCGUUGUUCGGAAUUAUUGGGCGUAAAGGGUGCGUAGGCGGUUCGGUAAGUCUUAUGUGAAAUCUUCGGGCUCAACUCGAAGUCUGCAUGAGAAACUGCCGGGCUUGAGUGUGGGAGAGGUGAGUGGAAUUUCCGGUGUAGCGGUGAAAUGCGUAGAUAUCGGAAGGAACACCUGUGGCGAAAGCGGCUCACUGGACCACAACUGACGCUGAUGCACGAAAGCUAGGGGAGCAAACAGGAUUAGAUACCCUGGUAGUCCUAGCCCUAAACGAUGAUCGCUUGGUGUGACGGGUACCCAAUCCCGCCGUGCCGAAGCUAACGCGUUA